GACGAACGCUGGCGGCGUGCUUAACACAUGCAAGUCGAACGGAAAGGCCCUGCUUUUGUGGGGUGCUCGAGUGGCGAACGGGUGAGUAACACGUGAGUAACCUGCCCUUGACUUUGGGAUAACUUCAGGAAACUGGGGCUAAUACCGGAUAGGAGCUCCUGCUGCAUGGUGGGGGUUGGAAAGUUUCGGCGGUUGGGGAUGGACUCGCGGCUUAUCAGCUUGUUGGUGGGGUAGUGGCUUACCAAGGCUUUGACGGGUAGCCGGCCUGAGAGGGUGACCGGGCACAUUGGGACUGAGAGACGGCCCAGACUCCUACGGGAGGCAGCAGGGGGGAAUAUUGCACAAUGGGCGGAAGCCUGAUGCAGCAACGCCGCGUGCGGGAUGACGGCCUUCGGGUUGUAAACCGCUUUCGCCUGUGACGAAGCGUGAGUGACGGUAAUGGGUAAAGAAGCACCGGCUAACUACGUG
Molecule: ribosomal RNA, 468 nt
Filed under: uncultured bacterium
Lineage: Bacteria
Description: partial 16S ribosomal RNA
Rfam family: Bacterial small subunit ribosomal RNA
Source: RNAcentral